RNAcentral lists this signal recognition particle RNA (268 nucleotides) under Fidelibacterota bacterium. RNAcentral describes it as "signal recognition particle sRNA large type". It matches the Rfam family "Bacterial large signal recognition particle RNA". From Rfam's summary of the family: The signal recognition particle (SRP) is a universally conserved ribonucleoprotein involved in the co-translational targeting of proteins to membranes. Archaeal SRP consists of a 7S RNA and homologues of the eukaryotic SRP19 and SRP54 proteins. In most bacteria, the SRP consists of a 4.5S RNA and the Ffh protein (a homologue of the eukaryotic SRP54 protein). Lineage: Bacteria; Pseudomonadati; Fidelibacterota. The record is from RNAcentral. RNAcentral also lists the same sequence under 3 other names.
CUGUGCACGAUGGGGAGUUAGCGGUACCCUGUAACCGGCAAUCCGCUGUAGCCGGAUCGAUACCAUGACCGAGGGUGUACCGAUUUCGUUACUCCUUUACGGAAUAAGUGUUGAAGCUUUAAGUCCUGCGCAAUGAGAAGUUGCUAAACUCCGUCAGGACCGGAAGGUAGCAGCGGUAAGGUUACAACUUGUGUGCCGUAGAUAGCUUAGGCGGAGCUUAUGACGGAAAGGUAGAAGCGGAAAGAGUCACACGGAGUCUGGCGCACAG